GCUGGAUGUGGUGGUGCAUGCCUGUAAGUUCCAGCUACUCAGGAGGCUGAGGCAGGAGGAUGGAUGAGCACAGGAGUUCUGGGCUGUAGUGUGUGCUAUGCCGAUCAGGUGUCAGCAUAAGUUCCACAUCAGUAUGGUGACCACCUAGAAGCGGGGAUCACCAGGUUACCUAAGGAGGGGUGAACCGGCCCAGGUCAGAAAUGGAGCAGGUCAAAAACUCCCUGCUAGCCUGGGCGCUGUGGCUCACGCCUGUAAUCCCAGUACUUU
Unclassified non-coding RNA from Pan paniscus (pygmy chimpanzee), 267 nucleotides. It matches the Rfam family "Metazoan signal recognition particle RNA". From Rfam's summary of the family: The signal recognition particle (SRP) is a universally conserved ribonucleoprotein. It is involved in the co-translational targeting of proteins to membranes. The record is from Ensembl. Lineage: Eukaryota; Metazoa; Chordata; Mammalia; Primates; Hominidae.